GGGGGUGUAGCUCAGUUGGGAGAGCGUCUGGUUUGCACCCAGAAGGUCAGCAGUUCAAAUCUGCUCAUCUCCA
RNAcentral lists this transfer RNA (73 nucleotides) under bacterium. Its description in RNAcentral is "tRNA-Ala". It matches the Rfam family "tRNA". From Rfam's summary of the family: Transfer RNA (tRNA) molecules are approximately 80 nucleotides in length. Their secondary structure includes four short double-helical elements and three loops (D, anti-codon, and T loops). The record is from RNAcentral.